GGUCGACGGUAUCGAUAAGCUUGCUAUGGGUACGGGGAGCAGCAGGCGCGAAACCUUUACACUGCACGUCAGUCGGAUAAGGGGAUUCCGAGUGCGAGGGCAUACAGUCCUCGCUUUUGUACACCGUAAGGNGGUGUACGAAUAAGAGCUGGGCAAGACCGGUGCCAGCUGCCGCGGUAACACCGGCAGCUCGAGUGAUGGCCGAUAUUAUUGGGCCUAAAGCGUCCGUAGCUGGCCGGACAGGCCCGUUGGGAAAUCCACUCGCUCAACGAGUGGGCGUCCAGCGGAAACCGUCUGGCUUGGGACCGGAAGACCAGAGGGGUACGUCUGGGGUAGGAGUGAAAUCCCGUAAUCCUGGACGGACCACCGGUGGCGAAAGCGCCUCUGGAAGACGGAUCCGACGGUGAGGGACGAAAGCUCGGGUCACGAACCGGAUUAGAUACCCGGGUAGUCCGAGCUGUAAACGAUGUCUGCUAGGUGUKACACAGGCUACGAGCUUGUGUUGUGCCGUAGGAAGCCGUGAAGCAGACCGCCUGGGAAGUA
RNAcentral lists this ribosomal RNA (543 nucleotides) under unidentified archaeon S3-K5. Its description in RNAcentral is "bacterial SSU rRNA". It matches the Rfam family "Archaeal small subunit ribosomal RNA", at positions 294 to 837 of the family's 1478-position model. RNAcentral also lists the same sequence under 1 other name. The record is from RNAcentral.